GAUGAACGCUGGCGGCGUGCCUAAUACAUGCCAGUCGAGCGAACAGACGAUGAGCUUGCUCCUCUGACGUUAGCGGCGGACGGGUGAGUAACACGUGGAUAACCUACCUAUAAGACUGGGAUAACUUCGGGAAACCGGAGCUAAUACCGGAUAAUAUAUUGAACCGCAUGGUUCAAUAGUGAAAGACGGUUUUGCUGUCACUUCUAGAUGGAUCCGCGCCGCAUUAGCUAGUUGGUAAGGUAACGGCUUACCAAGGCAACGAUGCGUAGCCGACCUGAGAGGGGGAUCGGCCACACUGGAGCUGAGACACGGUCCAGACGCCUGCGGGAGGCAGCAGUAGGGAAUCGGCCGCAAUGGGCGAAAGCUUGACGGAGCAACGCCGCGUGAGUGAUGAAGGUCUUCGGAUCGUAAAACUCUGUUAUUAGGGAAGAACAAAUGUGUAAGGAACUAUGCACGUCGUGACGGUACCUAAUCAGAAAGCCACGGCUAACUACGUG
Molecule: ribosomal RNA, 497 nt
Filed under: uncultured bacterium
Lineage: Bacteria
Description: partial 16S ribosomal RNA
Rfam family: Bacterial small subunit ribosomal RNA
Source: RNAcentral